GUGAGUCAUCGAAUCUUUGAACGCAUCUUGCACUAUUCGGCUUCCCCGGAUAGUAUGCCUGGUUGAGUGUCUGUGUAUCUCUCCUAAUUCAACAUUUGUUGGAAUAGGGACUUGGGGUCUUUCUCGUCGGAAGUUAAACUCGUUUAAUACCCGGUGAACCCUUUAAAUAUAGUAAGCUCCCAUCUAUUUCAUUAUCGGAAAUACGUAAACUUGGGGAUGGCGUCGUAGCAAUCACUAUUUCAGUAUUGUCGAAGCGCCUAUACAUACCUCUAAACUACGGUGCUAAUCCUUUAUUAGACU
This 300-nucleotide unclassified non-coding RNA is filed under the name uncultured Ramicandelaber. Its description in RNAcentral is "sequence contains 5.8S rRNA gene, ITS2". The stretch from base 1 to 72 matches the Rfam family "5.8S ribosomal RNA", at positions 84 to 154 of the family's 154-position model. Lineage: Eukaryota; Fungi; Kickxellomycota; Kickxellomycetes; Kickxellales; Kickxellaceae. The record is from RNAcentral.